This 508-nucleotide ribosomal RNA is filed under the name uncultured bacterium. RNAcentral describes it as "partial 16S ribosomal RNA". It matches the Rfam family "Bacterial small subunit ribosomal RNA", at positions 28 to 507 of the family's 1533-position model. The record is from RNAcentral.
GACGAACGCUGGCGGCGUGCUUAACACAUGCAAGUCGAACGGGCCUUGUCCCCUUUUUUUUUGGGGGUGGGGUUAGUGGCGAACGGGUGAGUAACACGUGAGUAACCUGCCCCUCACUUCUGGAUAACCGCUUGAAAGGGUGGCUAAUACGGGGUGUUCUGGCCUGCUCGCAUGGGUGGGUUUGGAAAGAUUCGACCGGUUUUGGUUGUUUUGGUGGGGGAUGGGCUCGCGGCCUAUCAGCUUGUUGGUGGGGUGAUGGCCUGCCAAGGCUUUGACGGGUAGCCGGCCUGAGAGGGUGGGCGGUCACACUGGGACUGAGACACGGCCCAGACUCCUACGGGAGGCAGCAGUGGGGAAUAUUGCACAAUGGGCGCAAGCCUGAUGCAGCGACGCCGCGUGAGGGAUGGAGGCCUUCGGGUUGUGAACCUCUUUCGCCAGUGAAGAAGGUCCUGUUCUUUGUGGUGGGGUUGACGGUAGCUGGGUUAAUGAAGCGCCGGCUAACUACGUG